This 447-nucleotide long non-coding RNA is filed under the name Homo sapiens (human). RNAcentral's name for it is "HSALNT0052304". The record is from RNAcentral. Lineage: Eukaryota; Metazoa; Chordata; Mammalia; Primates; Hominidae.
CAAGUAUCUGAUCUGAAGGCAAUACACUCCAACCCCAAAGCCUAGUAUCAUUUUCUUUUUUUUUUUUUGUAGUUUAUGUAAAAAUUUAUUUGACCAAAAUGUAGAAAAAGUGAUACUAUUACAUAUGAUACAGUUGCAAGAAUCUAAAGUAAAGUGUGGAUUUUAUUCCAUUGCACAAUUUGCUAGUGUAUUUCCUGGGUAGUGUGGUGCUGAAUAAAUAGGAGUGGGGUGGUGAGGUGGGGUGGGUAAGGGAUUCAGAUAAGCCAGAAGCAGGGUGAUUUUUAGUCGGAAUUGCAAACUUUAGUCGGCCCCCACACGCUGCUGGGGAAUGUGGAAUGUUCCAGCUCUGAGAUGUUAACUGAGAAAAGAGAAGUCAAACAAAGCCGAUUUCCAGCAAAGCGAAGAUGGCAAUAACAAAAGGAACUUCUUACAAGAGAAGAGAAAGAC